UGAUGAAAUCCCCAGAGUGGUCCUCGGGUCCCACAGUGGGUGCUCAGGGAUGUAGGCUGUAGGGCUCCAGGCUCUGAGUUGAGGAAAAUUGGAGUUAAAUUUCAGUGAAGUAACCCUGAGCAAGUCAGUCUCUGUCCAUCAGGUUCUUUUGUUUGUAAAAUGGAGGUAGCCAUGAGGAUUGUUCUGAGAAUGAGUUAAAUGGAAAGAUAUGCUCAAGAUGCCAGCGCAAAGCCAGAGACUCAAGGUUCGCAGCUGGUUGGAGCAAACCUCAAUGUCAGUGUGAAUCUUCCACCAUGGGAUUCAAGCUGCCUUGGCUCUAAAGUAAGAUCACAGCUGCAGUGAGCUGACCCCAACUCAAGAUGGAACCAUCUUAGAACAAGCUCUUAGGAUAAAAAGCCAAAGCUCUCUAAUGUGUUCUGUGAUAAAGAAGACUAUGGAACUGACAGUCCAAACCGAGAAACUGGGGAGAGAGAGGAGGCAUUAUUGUCAACUCCAGGUCAUCCAACCUGUUUUAAGCUUUUUGUCAGCAAGAACCAGCCCUAUUUUAUUCAGCCCUGGAGCGGCCUCUCCACCAGGCACACAGCUUAGCACAAAGCAGGCCUCAGAUGCACGCUGGACAAAUGUGCUGGUAUCCUCUGCAUCCUUAUGGCCAAUAUCAGGGUUUGAGCCCCAGAAUUUCUGGAAAACUGGAGGCUCUACUGUUCCAUUCAACCCAGGCAUGAUCCAUCCAGAAACCCAGUGGAACUGAGCCGCGAGCUGGAUUCCAGCUCACAGAACACACCAAGAACUCUGGUGAAACAUCAAGAACUCUGGGGGGUCCCCCCAGAAAAAUCUGGGGGGCACUGCAGAGCUUCUGACACGGCUCUGGGGGAAAUCCCACACGGAUGGGCAGCUGCCUGCAUCUGGCACUGUGGAGGUGGGCGGGCAGCCAUGGAGGAUGGGGAGACUCAUCUUUCUAGACUUCUCCUGGGGACCGCAUUUCCUCCAGCCUCCAGGUCCAGACCAAAAUAGAAUGAGGUAAAUUCAGCCCCUUUCCUGAAGCACACUCAAGGAAUAAACAAGCACCACAAAUAC
This 1074-nucleotide long non-coding RNA is filed under the name Homo sapiens (human). RNAcentral's name for it is "HSALNT0401998". Lineage: Eukaryota; Metazoa; Chordata; Mammalia; Primates; Hominidae. The record is from RNAcentral.